RNAcentral lists this transfer RNA (28 nucleotides) under Tachigali paraensis. Its description in RNAcentral is "partial tRNA-His". RNAcentral also lists the same sequence under 2 other names. Lineage: Eukaryota; Viridiplantae; Streptophyta; Magnoliopsida; Fabales; Fabaceae. The record is from RNAcentral.
CGGAUGUAGCCAAGUGGAUCANGGCAGU